CCGUGGAGACGUGUCCCCGGACACCACGGGCGACUUGUACACAAUUUCCGCCCCGUGGUCCGUCUUGGCUUUGGCGUUCUCACGGAAGGGACGUGGGUGAUGUUAUCCAGGGACCCGAUCUUCGACUGGACUCGAUCCUUGAAGUCCAGCUUCUCAGAUUUAACUUCCACCUGGCCACCUCCUGGAACACAACACACACCAGAGCGUCUUGCCAUCUUCCUCUGCGGUCUAGUGGACUCCGCAUGCAUUAAAUGAGGGCGGGUGCCACUGCUCCGAAGGGGAGAGGACCGCGAUAUAACCUUCACAUUUGCACAUGAAGGGCCGUGCAAGUGAUUCCCAGUAGGGACCAGCCUUUAGGAGCAGGUCACAUUCAGACACGGAGAGAGGAGCGACUGAUCUGGUUGGUGCUGCAGCACUGGAAAAUCUCUCGGGAAAGGCGAGAGCUGUCUGCAGGCCCCAAGCGGGAGAGGCUGUGCGAGGACUGACAGGUGGGCUUUGUAGCAGGAGAAGGAAGCUUCUGCAGAUCCCGGCUCCGCGGCCAGAGCAGCGUCGGGUCACCAGGCAGGACCCAGAGCAGCGACUCAGAGGAGAGAGCGGCUGGCACCUGUGCACACGGUGUCCUGGACAUUUCGGUCUUUACCAAACGAGCAAAGCAGCUGCCAGGACGGGCAGGUGGCACAGCAGAGACGCCAACAGACAGUGUCCCGCCGGCUCGGGCAGACUCGGACUCACCAGGGGAGGCCUGUGGGCUCCAGGCUCAGCACCCUUGGGAAGGACGGCCCCUGAGCCGCCUGUUCCCCUGAGGGUGACCCCGUGGGGACCCCACAGUGGCAGAUGGGUCUCCUGUAGGCAAGUCUCCACAAAGCCAUGGCCGUGAGGGGCCUGGGUCGCCGACUGACACUCCAGAACCCCUGGGGCCUCUGCUGGGACCUCGUGGGAUGGGCCACGAGGGUAGCCCAGGAGAGAGACGGCCCCAAGUCUUGGAGGGGUUCAUCAAAGCCACAGAAAGAAAGAGGGUCUUCUACCUUAGUCUAAACUGGAAAAAUCCCCAAUUAUUUUAAAGUCACGUUGGUGUUUGCUUAUUGACAGAGAGCUGGCAGAUGGCCUGGCCCUUGGGGUCAGUGCGGGAGUGAUGUGUUGGUAGGACAAUGACCUGUGUCUCUGGGAGGGCGGGGACAGAGGCAUCAUUCCCUCCUCCCUCUGGCCUGGGUGAAGUCACU
Long non-coding RNA from Lemur catta (Ring-tailed lemur), 1220 nucleotides. RefSeq lists it as uncharacterized. The record is from RefSeq and is a predicted model, not a curated record. Lineage: Eukaryota; Metazoa; Chordata; Mammalia; Primates; Lemuridae. The transcript is spliced from 3 exons.